Molecule: long non-coding RNA, 1218 nt
Filed under: Heterocephalus glaber (naked mole-rat)
Lineage: Eukaryota; Metazoa; Chordata; Mammalia; Rodentia; Bathyergidae
Description: lncRNA (ENSHGLG00100044873.1)
Source: RNAcentral
GUAUGUCACCAUAUAGGGAAAUCCCCAUUGAGGUCACUAUGACCUGGGGACUUGGGGCCAUCACCUUGGUCACUUUCUAAUACCUGCCACAGGCCUAAACACUCACCCUUGCCAUGUGAUGUUUCGAUGAUCCAGUCUACAAAUAAUUGAAGAGACAUUGAUCCCUUAAAUUGAGGGGAUGAAUGCAGAAGAUGAUGACAGAGUGAGUGUGAGCAUGAGAUGUUAUUUUACUUCAAGUUCAUGGUCAAAUACUGUCCCCAGAGUACCCCUCAUGGGGCCACUCAGCUACACACAGAGAAAGCUGUGAGAGUUGUCAGGCCUGAGCCAGAGGCAUCAGCCCAGCCCGCUUCCUCUCAGCUACAACAGGAAAUGAGUGUCCAGGACUCUGCUCUGCUAGGGGACUACAUGUGCUCUGUCUUCUGCAAUUACCCAGUCUUGAGCACAGCACUUGGCACACAGCCGUCCCUCUACGACUACUGACUGGAUGAAUAAAUGAAUGAGCAAAAGGACAGAUGAAUGCAGCCCAUGUCAGAAGCUUUGAAGUUUUUCACAAACAUCUUUGAUGUCAUAUUCUCUUCAGUGAUAUAACGCAAGAACGCAGUGACAAGAUGGCCAAGGCCCCAGUGGAAAAGACCGAGACUCCCAGAGAAACGGCAACUUACCAGGAUUGCAGCCCAGACCUCUCUAAUUUGGAAGCCUCUCCAUCUCACCAGAAAACAGGUAGGAGGACAGAGAAGCCCAAAACCAGGCCUGUGCAUGUUCCAAUAGGAUGACUAGGAAAGACAGAACUGGGCUCUACUUCUUCCUGCUACUGGAUGAUGGGCACAGAAAGCCCUGGAGGUGAUGCGUCCUGAAAAGGUGGUUUCCAACAAGUCUGGUAACCCAGAGAAGAGGUUUGCUGUUCCCAGUCUCCCAGCUUCUGCCCUGCCUCCCUGCCCACUGUGACCACAAGAUAGAAAUGAAAAUAACCUCUGUUGAGAUUCAGUUUGUUUCUAGAACUGCAACUGAAGGGGACAACUUGCAGACUGUAGCCCUAAGAGGAGCUGGGAGAAAAUGCUCUAACAGCUGGCUGCAAUAAGUCUCUGGGCCACCUCCAAGCCUUUGUGCUUUGACUCUGGGAAUUGGAUCUGGACAAAGCAACCUGUAGGCAGCAGAACACCAGAAGUCAACAGGAAGCAGUGUUUUGGGAUUUGGAGGAGCACAUCAGAGGGACUCAGG